This 643-nucleotide ribosomal RNA is filed under the name uncultured bacterium. Its description in RNAcentral is "bacterial SSU rRNA". It matches the Rfam family "Bacterial small subunit ribosomal RNA", at positions 232 to 885 of the family's 1533-position model. The record is from RNAcentral.
CGCGGCCUAUCAGCUUGUUGGUGAGGUAAUGGCUCACCAAGGCUUCGACGGGUAGCCGGCCUGAGAGGGCGACCGGCCACACUGGGACUGAGAUACGGCCCAGACUCCUACGGGAGGCAGCAGUGGGGAAUAUUGCACAAUGGGCGCAAGCCUGAUGCAGCAACGCCGCGUGCGGGAUGACGGCCUUCGGGUUGUAAACCGCUUUCAGUAGGGACGAAGCUAACGUGACGGUACCUACAGAAGAAGGACCGGCUAACUACGUGCCAGCAGCCGCGGUGAUACGUAGGGUCCGAGCGUUGUCCGGAAUUAUUGGGCAUAAAGGGCUUGUAGGCGGUCCGUCGCGUCAGGAGUGAAAACUCGGGGCUUAACCCCGAGCCUGCUUUUGAUACGGGCGGACUAGAGGGAUGCAGGGGAGAACGGAAUUCCUGGUGGAGCGGUGGAAUGCGCAGAUAUCAGGAGGAACACCGGUGGCGAAGGCGGUUCUCUGGGCAUCACCUGACGCUGAGAAGCGAAAGCGUGGGGAGCAAACAGGCUUAGAUACCCUGGUAGUCCACGCCGUAAACGGUGGGCACUAGGUGUGGGGGACAUUCCACGUUCUCCGUGCCGAAGCUAACGCAUUAAGUGCCCCGCCUGGGGAGUACGG